GACGAACGCUGGCGGCGUGCUUAACACAUGCAAGUCGAACGGAAAGGCCCUUCUUUUGUGGGGUUCUCGAUUGGCGAACGUGUGAGUAACACGUGAGUAACCUGCCCUUUACUUUGGGAUAACUUCAGGAAACUUGGGCUAAUACCGGAUAGGAGCUCCUGCUGCCUGGUGGGUGUUGGAAAGUUUCGUCGGUUGGGGAUGGACUCGCGGCUUAUCAGCUUGUUGGUGGGGUAGUGGCUUACCAAGGCUUUGACGGGUAGCCGGCCUGAGAGGGUGACCGGCAAAAAUGGGACUGAGAGACGGCACAGAAUGCUACGGGAGGCAGAAGUGGGGAAGAUGGCACAAUGGGCGGAAGCCUGAUGCAGCAAAGCAGCGUGCGGGAUGAAGGCCUUCGGGUGGUAAACAGAUUUAGACUGUGACGAAGAGUGAGUGACGGUAAUGGGUAAAGAAGCACCGGCUAACUACGUG
RNAcentral lists this ribosomal RNA (468 nucleotides) under uncultured bacterium. RNAcentral describes it as "partial 16S ribosomal RNA". It matches the Rfam family "Bacterial small subunit ribosomal RNA", at positions 28 to 507 of the family's 1533-position model. The record is from RNAcentral.